AGAGUUUGAUCCUGGCUCAGGACGAACGCUGGUGCCUAACACAUGCAAGUCGAGGGGAUAUGUAGCAAUACAUGUUCACUGGCGCACGGGUGAGUAACGCGUAGAUAAUCUGCCCUUAACACUAACAUAACGUCGAGAAAUUGACGCUAAUAUUAGAUAAUACCGCAAGGUCAAAGAGCAAUCGGUUAGGGAUGAGUCUGCGUAAGAUUAGCUAGUUGGCGGGGUAAUGGCCCACCAAGGCGACGAUCUUUAGCUGGUCUGAGAGGACGAUCAGCCACACUGGAACUGCCCACCAAGGCGACGAUCUUUAGCUGGUCUGAGAGGACGAUCAGCCACACUGGAACUGCCCACCAAGGCGACGAUCUUUAGCUGGUCUGAGAGGACGAUCAGCCACACUGGAACUGAACACGGUCCAGACUCCUACGGGAGGCAGCAGUGAGGAAUUUUCCACAAUGGGCGCAAGCCUGAUGGAGCGACGCCGCGUGCGGGAUGAAGGGGCUCUGCCUUGUAAACCGCUGUCGGAAGGGAAGAAUGAGACCCUCGGGGUCUUUAGACAGUACCUUUAAAGGAAGGAUCAGCUAACUACGUGCCAGCAGCCGCGGUAAUACGUAGGAUCCAAGCGUUGUCCGGAAUUACUGGGCGUAAAGGGUGCGUAGGCGGAUUUGUGCGUCAGAGGUGAAAUCCCACGGCUUAACCGUGGAACUGCCUUUGAUACGGCAAAUCUUGAGUGCGAGAGAGGCGAGUAGAAUUCCAGGUGUAGCGGUGAAAUGCGUAGAUAUCUGGAGGAAUACCAGUGGAGAAGUCGGCUCGCUGGCUCGUAACUGACGCUGAGGCACGAAAGCGUGGGGAUCAAACAGGAUUAGAUACCCUGGUAGUCCACGCCCUAAACGAUGUAUGCUUGGCUUGGGAUAGCAAUAUUUCGGAGCCGUAGAAAUCUGUUAAGCAUACCGCCUGGGGAGUACGAUCGCAAGGUGAAACUCAAAGGAAUUGACGGGGGCCCGCACAAGCGGUGAUCAUGUGUUUAUCGAUGCACGCGAGA
RNAcentral lists this ribosomal RNA (1039 nucleotides) under uncultured bacterium. RNAcentral's name for it is "bacterial SSU rRNA". It matches the Rfam family "Bacterial small subunit ribosomal RNA", at positions 8 to 966 of the family's 1533-position model. The record is from RNAcentral.